GAACGCUGGCGGCGCGCCUAACACAUGCAAGUCGAACGAGUGAGAGAGAGCUUGCUUUCUCGACGCGAGUGGCGAACGGGUGAGUAACGCGUGAGGAACCUGCCUCAAAGAGGGGGACAACAGUUGGAAACGACUGCUAAUACCGCAUAAGCCCACGGCUCGGCAUCGAGCAGGGGGAAAAGGAGUAAUCCGCUUUGAGAUGGCCUCGCGUCCGAUUAGCUAGUUGGUGAGGUAAUGGCCCACCAAGGCAACGAUCGGUAGCCGGACUGAGAGGUUGAACGGCCACAUUGGGACUGAGACACGGCCCAGACUCCUACGGGAGGCAGCAGUGGGGAAUAUUGCACAAUGGGGGAAACCCUGAUGCAGCGACGCCGCGUGGAGGAAGAAGGUCUUCGGAUUGUAAACUCCUGUUGUUGGGGAAGAUAAUGACGGUACCCAACAAGGAAGUGACGGCUAACUACGUGCCAGCAGCCGCGGUAAAACGUAGGUCACAAGCGUUGUCCGGAAUUACUGGGUGUAAAGGGAGCGCAGGCGGGAAGACAAGUUGGAAGUGAAAUCUAUGGGCUCAACCCAUAAACUGCUUUCAAAACUGUUUUUCUUGAGUAGUGCAGAGGUAGGCGGAAUUCCCGGUGUAGCGGUGGAAUGCGUAGAUAUCGGGAGGAACACCAGUGGCGAAGGCGG
RNAcentral lists this ribosomal RNA (681 nucleotides) under uncultured Lachnospiraceae bacterium. RNAcentral describes it as "bacterial SSU rRNA". It matches the Rfam family "Bacterial small subunit ribosomal RNA", at positions 31 to 724 of the family's 1533-position model. The record is from RNAcentral. Lineage: Bacteria; Bacillati; Bacillota; Clostridia; Lachnospirales; Lachnospiraceae.